GACGAACGCUGGCGGCGUGCUUAACACAUGCAAGUCGAACGGAAAGGCCCUGCUUUUGUGGGGUGCUCGAGUGGCGAACGGGUGAGUAACACGUGAGUAACCUGCCCUUGACUUUGGGAUAACUUCAGGAAACUGGGGCUAAUACCGGAUAGGAGCUCCUGCUGCAUGGUGGGGGUUGGAAAGUUUCGGCGGUUGGGGAUGGACUCGCGGCUUAUCAGCUUGUUGGUGGGGUAGUGGCUUACCAAGGCUUUGACGGGUAGCCGGCCUGGGAGGGUGACCGGCCACAUUGGGCCUGAGAUACGGCCCAGAAUCCUACGGGAGGCAGCAGUGGGGAAUAUUGCACAAUGGGCGGAAGCCUGAUGCAGCAACGCCGCGUGCGGGAUGACGGCCUUCGGGUUGUAAACCGCUUUCGCCUGUGACGAAGCGUGAGUGACGGUAAUGGGUAAAGAAGCACCGGCUAACUACGUG
RNAcentral lists this ribosomal RNA (468 nucleotides) under uncultured bacterium. RNAcentral's name for it is "partial 16S ribosomal RNA". It matches the Rfam family "Bacterial small subunit ribosomal RNA", at positions 28 to 507 of the family's 1533-position model. The record is from RNAcentral.